This 476-nucleotide ribosomal RNA is filed under the name uncultured bacterium. RNAcentral describes it as "partial 16S ribosomal RNA". It matches the Rfam family "Bacterial small subunit ribosomal RNA", at positions 29 to 523 of the family's 1533-position model. The record is from RNAcentral.
CAUGAACGCUGGCGGCGUGCUUAACGCAUGCAAGUCGAGCGAGAGAGUUCUUCGGAACGAUCUAGCUGCGGACGGGUGAGUAACACGUGGGCAACCUGCCUCAUAGAGGGGAAUAGACUUCCGAAGGGAAGAUUAAUACAGCAUAACAUCGUUGAAGGGCAUCCUUCGAUGAUCAAAGGAGCAAUCCGCUCUGAGAUGGGCUCGCGGCGCAUUAGCUGGUUGGUGAGGUAACGGCUCACCAAGGCGACGAUGCGUAGCCGACCUGAGAGGUUGAUCGGCCACAUUGGGACUGAGACACGGCCCAGACUCCUACGGGAGGCAGCAGUGGGGAAUAUUGCACAAUGGGGGAAACCCUGAUGCAGCAACGCCGCGUGAGUGAUGAUGGCCUUCGGGUUGUAAAGCUCUGUCUUUGGGGACGAUAAUGACGGUACCCAAGGAGGAAGUCACGGCUAACUACGUGCCAGCCGCCGCAGUAA